CGUGUAGGCGGCCUGACAGGUCUGCUGUGAAAACUCGAGGCUCAACCUCGAGAUGUCGGCGGAAACCGUCUGGCUAGAGUCCGGAAGAGGAGAGUGGAAUUCCUGGUGUAGCGGUGAAAUGCGCAGAUAUCAGGAAGAACACCUAUGGCGAAGGCAGCUCUCUGGGACGGUACUGACGCUGAGACGCGAAAGCGUGGGAGCGAACA
RNAcentral lists this ribosomal RNA (206 nucleotides) under uncultured bacterium. RNAcentral's name for it is "partial 16S ribosomal RNA". It matches the Rfam family "Bacterial small subunit ribosomal RNA", at positions 568 to 774 of the family's 1533-position model. The record is from RNAcentral.